GUGACACUGGAAGUGAGAUGGGAAUGGGAUGUGAUUAGAAGAUUUGAAAAUGGUGACAGCAAAGCAAAGAGAGGCUGAGAUCUCAAACUGCAUGAAGCUACUGUAUAAAUCAUACUGAAAAAUUCUGGUGAAUAUAAAAAACAAGCAAAAGUCACUUCAACAUCUUUCCAUUUGAGUUGUGCUAGGAACGGAAAGCUGCUUAUAGUUGAAAUGGAGCAUUUACUUUUGCUUUGGAUUACAUGCAGUAUGGCAGUAACUUUUACUUCGCUGUGCAAAUAACUUUGCAUGAUUCAAAUCUAACAUAAAUGGAGUUACAGAAGAAGUAGCUGACCAUGGGAAUGUUGACAAUGCUGCCAUUUGAGAGAGUACAUAUGCAAUCAGAGGAACUUAGCAUUUACUGUGUGCCAGGCACCGUGCUAAGAGCUUUAGAAACAUUACCUUACUUAAUCCUUACAACUACCCUAAGAGGUAGGAACUACUGUCAUCUUUUUAUAGAUGAGGAAAGGGAGGUUUAGGGAAGUGAAGACAUUUAUUCAAGGUGACUCCGAGGGGAAGAGGCAGAGCACAAAAUUGAGUCCAGGUGUGACUAACUGUAUAAUAGUUCCCUGACUCUUAACCACUAGGCCACUUGAGAAAAAGAUUUUCUAGCUUCUCAGAGUUCAGAGUAUGGUUGGUUAAAAAAGAAAAAAGAAAAAAUGAUUUUUUUCCCUUAAAGCAUUUAAUGAUAACUCUGUUAGCAUGGUGGUAACUGUCUGGUGGCCUAUGCUAGGCACUGCCUGUUUCCCUUUCCUUCCCUCUGCUUAUCUCCUGCUUAAAUCCCAUUCUUCAUCCCCUCUCCCCCAAACCCGUGCAGGCCCACGUGAAUCGGAAUCCUUGCUCUGUUCAGCUGGCUAAGGCGAGUCCCGCAAAGCGCUGGCCUCCAGGUGCUUCUGCCAGGCCUUGUGGUGCAAGGGCCCUGCCUCCUCCCGCUCCAGCAGCAGCCCUGGCGAUGCCCACUGCGUUUCUCAGCUCUGUUGGCAGUGGGGGCAGAAGAGGCUGCCUGAGGCCCCCUCCCAGCAAAAGCCGUGGCCACACCUGCAAUGACUGGGUUGCAGCUCUGAGCUGCAAGCAUUGGCUGUGGCCUGGAGACCAGCCACUGGAUGAGAGAAACGCUGUAGGAUCUGCAGGUUGUCUGGAGGGACUCGGGGUCCCUUGGUGAAAAGAGAAACCACUGCCCUUGAGUCAUAAGUAUGAUCAUCCUUUCUUUUAACAAAGGCACCUGGAGGGAUCUCUCAGGAGAAGAAACAUUCUCUAAUCACUCAGUAUCACACAGGUUUCUCUCCAGAGACCUCAGCCCAGCACCUCUGCAAGGGGAGAGAGGAGAGGCGUCCUUCAGCUCAUUUAUGCCUGUAUUGAUCGCUGCUGCCUCACCCUCGAUGUCGGUGGUUACCAUCCAGUACCUGUUCGAUCUGAUUCCCAUGCAACCAUGUUCUGGAAUUCCCUGAGCACUACUCCACCUGAAGAGCAGCCCCUGUCUCUCUCUGGACAGUAAUGAGGUUUCCUUUGCAGUCUCACACUGGCUUACUAUCCUUCAUCCCGCCAAGCAUCCCCCUGACUACAUUCAUUUCUCUCUAUGCCCGGGUUUAUUCAGCUGUGUUCUCCUCUGCUCUGUGGGCGACAGGAGACUGUCACAGCCCAGUUGGAAUUCACUUUAUCUUUCCCUCUGCCCUAUACGCUGAGCAAACAUGUGCAGUUGGCAUUUCAGCAGUGGAAAUUCUCUGACCCCCUUUGCUGUUGCCUAAAACAGAAACCUCAGUGGCUUUGCAGGAAAUAUUCCACAGUCUCCUGCAACCUAAAUUUGAUAGCUAUUUGUUGAAUAUACAUGAUAUGCCUCUUGCUGUUGUGCCCUCAAGAGGCUUAUGAAGCUGUUGGUGAAAUAAAACAGACACAUGUGAAACAAUUUGAAAACAGCAAAGCACGGUAUACCAUCAGUAUUAUCAUUAGGUGCCAAAAUGCGUGAUACUAAAAUACCAUCAUUAACACUAGUCAUAGAGCUGACACACACUGAGUACCCAGGCACAUCUCAUUUCAACCUCAUGACAAGCCCAUGAGGUGGGCAUUAUUGUCCCCAUUUUAUGCAUCAACAAACUGAGUCACAGAGAAUUUAAUUAGCCUAAGGUCUCUUGGCUGGUAAGACAACCCAGCUCUGUUCAACUCCAAAGUGUGUGCAUUCUCAGUUCUACUCUAUGCUCAACCACUGCCCUGCUUAGCUCCAUAAAGGUGGAGUCUAGGUGUUUUGCUUGUGGCUGUGUUCCAGAGCCAUUUUCCCAGUGCUUAGCAAAGGAAGGGCUCAAUUUAUAUAUAUGUGUGUAUGUACAUAUAUACAUAUUUGCAUGCUGCACCUCUUAUAUACAGAAAGAUCUAUAGGAAAAGCCAGACCAGCUAGAUCAAGUGGUCUGCUUUCUCGAGUCAGAUGUGGGACAAAUGUUGAGGGGUUUGGAGGAUUAUGAAGUCCAAGUUUGGCCAUCCCAGUAGUUGGUGGUGAUGGUGUAGGGUUUGCGUUUGAUCAUGAAGAGUGGAGAAAGAGAAAAGGAAACUAACACAUACAGAAACACACAUACACAUACGCAUGAAACAACAACAACAAAGCAAACCCCACAUACCCCAACACUGCUCCUCUUUUUGAGGUUCUAAAUCCAGUUCUUCCCCCUGGCCUCUUCCUGCCCUGCACAUAGCUCACCUGCCUUGGUGGGACCUGCCUGCUUUUAUGCUGCUUAAGUCUGAAUCACAAAACUGUGAGCCCCUGGAGAGCGGGGCAGGCUUAAUCCUAUUUUUUUUAAUCCCCUGAGAUGGGUUAGUCCUUUGCAGGCUAUAUUUGUUAAAAUGAAUUGAAAUCAGGAGUGUAAGACUUUUUUUUUGAAGGCUUUGUUUCUUUUUCUUGUCUGAUGCUUUUUGGGAAGUAGCAAUGCUGUAGAAAGGAAGAACAGUAGAGACACUCCUCGAUAGUUACAAGGGGAGAUGAAGCCUUGGGUCUGAUCUGUCCCACAUUAGAUUCCCAUUUGUAGAAGAAAAAAAGAGAAAGGAAUGAAGCUACAUCUCCCUCAUCAAGUUAGCCUGGGGGGUCUGCCGCAAAGAGGAUUGAAGGGGAAAUGUUCAAUUUUACCGCUUUGUUCUGCUGGGUUCUUCUCCCCAGGACACUGUUUAGUGCACUGAGUGAAGUAGAAAAUGAAGAGCAGGUGAGCAAUCAGCUGUGAAAAGCUUUAAUGGGCCCGGCACCCCUUUGGGAAUGAGGCUCGGCUCUUGCUAGUGCUGGGGAACAACAUCUCUUUCAGUUCAGUAGGCUUUGUUUUUGUAAUGGGAAUUUAACUCCCUCAGGUGGUCCCGGGAUGGAGGAAUAUUACUGUGCUCAGCAGCAGUGGCGCUGCAGCAUCUUCUAAAGGGAACCAAGGCCACUGUCCCCAAAGGGGCCUCCUGGCUCACUGGGAGGCCUUUGGAAAUCUCAGACUUCCUGGGUGGGGAGGAGAGGAGGAGAUCAUGUGACCCCGUGAACAGCAUGAUGCUGUGAUUACCUGGGGCUUCCUAGCAAGGGCACUGGGACAGGUCCUGGAGCGAAGGGGACUGAGAGCUGCAAUGGAUUCAGACCCAAAGGGGUUGGAACCACCACAGUUCUUGUGGGAGUGAGGAAGUGGCCCAGCCUCUUUUAAGCUCCCUGGGGUGUCCUAUAAAGCAUAAGGCCUCGGCCAGGCGUGGUGGCUCACGC
This 3739-nucleotide long non-coding RNA is filed under the name Homo sapiens (human). Its description in RNAcentral is "HSALNT0212249". Lineage: Eukaryota; Metazoa; Chordata; Mammalia; Primates; Hominidae. The record is from RNAcentral.